AUGGCCUCGGGCAAUCGCGCACUCCCGAUCGAGAACGGCGAGGUCCUCCCUGCCGCCGGAGGCAAUGGCGAGGGCGGGAACGGCGGCAGCGGCGACGGAUUCAACCGCAACCGCUCCUCCGUGGACCAGCAGAUCGAUGAUAUGCGGAGGAGGCUGCGGGAGUUGGAGGAGACCGAGCGCGAGAUGCUAGCCGUCGCCGCCGCCGCUACGCAUGAAGAUCCAGCUGCAGCGGUAACCGCACUCGAAAAGGCAGAGGUGGAUGCUCGCUCCAUCUAUGUUGGAAAUGAGGUCACCCAGGUUCAGGAGGUCACCCAGGUUCUAUCCCUAUUACUGAUUCUGCCGGGUUGCUGUGACUUCAGUUUUUUGCUAGCGAAUUUCCAUGAUACAUACAGAAGAUACAGGCAAAGACACUGA
This 414-nucleotide ribosomal RNA is filed under the name Triticum aestivum (bread wheat). RNAcentral's name for it is "partial small subunit ribosomal RNA". Lineage: Eukaryota; Viridiplantae; Streptophyta; Magnoliopsida; Poales; Poaceae. The record is from RNAcentral.